GCAAGCUGCUUCAUACAAAAACCAUGCCACUCAGGGGGAGAGUUCAUCCUCUCCAAUCUAAUAUAUACUGUAUAGUGCCAAACUUCUAGGCACACCUACUUGGGCAUUUCUUUUAGGGAGUGAUGCCGGUUUACACUUUGAAUAUAAUUCAAAAUGAAGAAUACCCUCCAGCAAGACACAGCUUUUGCCAAAGCAUCUCAGAAGACUUCCCCUUUUGCUGAAUCAAAUGCUACCUGAAACAUUGACUCAAUUGGUACCAACUGUGAAAUUGUGAAGAACAAGAGAGCAAGCAUCUCAGUUAAAAAAACUGCAGGAGGGAGAGCAAAUUCAGGCUUGAAGUUAGUUAAUCACACAACUGCCUAUAUUUGCUGAAUGCAAAAUCAAAUCUGGUUCUCCGAACUAUCGAACAACUUGAACUCUCAAUCAACUUGCAGACUGUCAAAUUACAAU
RNAcentral lists this long non-coding RNA (450 nucleotides) under Pogona vitticeps (central bearded dragon). RNAcentral describes it as "lncRNA (ENSPVIG00000021494.1)". Lineage: Eukaryota; Metazoa; Chordata; Lepidosauria; Squamata; Agamidae. The record is from RNAcentral.